RNAcentral lists this transfer RNA (85 nucleotides) under Burkholderia multivorans. Its description in RNAcentral is "tRNA-Leu". It matches the Rfam family "tRNA". From Rfam's summary of the family: Transfer RNA (tRNA) molecules are approximately 80 nucleotides in length. Their secondary structure includes four short double-helical elements and three loops (D, anti-codon, and T loops). Further hydrogen bonds mediate the characteristic L-shaped molecular structure. tRNAs have two regions of fundamental functional importance: the anti-codon, which is responsible for specific mRNA codon recognition, and the 3' end, to which the tRNAs corresponding amino acid is attached (by aminoacyl-tRNA synthetases). tRNAs cope with the degeneracy of the genetic code in two manners: having more than one tRNA (with a specific anti-codon) for a particular amino acid; and 'wobble' base-pairing, i.e. permitting non-standard base-pairing at the 3rd anti-codon position. Lineage: Bacteria; Pseudomonadati; Pseudomonadota; Betaproteobacteria; Burkholderiales; Burkholderiaceae. The record is from RNAcentral.
GCCCGCGUGGCGGAAUUGGUAGACGCAGGGGACUCAAAAUCCCCCGCCGCAAGGCGUGCCGGUUCGAGUCCGGCCGCGGGCACCA